This 253-nucleotide ribosomal RNA is filed under the name uncultured bacterium. RNAcentral describes it as "partial 16S ribosomal RNA". It matches the Rfam family "Bacterial small subunit ribosomal RNA", at positions 524 to 776 of the family's 1533-position model. The record is from RNAcentral.
UACAGAGGUCUCAAGCGUUGUUCGGAUUCAUUGGGCGUAAAGGGUGCGUAGGUGGCGCGGUAAGUCGGGUGUGAAAUUUCGGAGCUUAACUCCGAAACUGCAUUCGAUACUGGCGUGCUUGAGGACUGGAGAGGAGACUGGAAUUCAUGGUGUAGCAGUGAAAUGCGUAGAGAUCAUGAGGAAGACCAGUGGCGAAGGCGGGUCUCUGGACAGUUCCUGACACUGAGACACGAAGGCCAGGGGAGCAAACGGG